GAUGAACGCUGGCGGCGUGCCUAAUACAUGCAAGUCGAGCGAACGGACGAGAAGCUUGCUUCUCUGAUGUUAGCGGCGGACGGGUGAGUAACACGUGGAUAACCUACCUAUAAGACUGGGAUAACUUCGGGAAACCGGAGCUAAUACCGGAUGAUAUUUUGAACCGCAUGGUUCAAAAGUGAAAGACGGUCUUGCUGUCACUUAUAGAUGGAGCCGCGCUGCAUUAGCUAGUUGGUAAGGUAACGGCUUACCAAGGCAACGAUGCAUAGCCGACCUGAGAGGGUGAUCGGCCACACUGGAACUGAGACACGGUCCAGACUCCUACGGGAGGCAGCAGUAGGGAAUCUUCCGCAAUGGGCGAAAGCCUGACGGAGCAACGCCGCGUGAGUGAUGAAGGUCUUCGGAUCGUAAAACUCUGUUAUUAGGGAAGAACAUAUGUGUAAGUAACUGUGCACAUCUUGACGGUACCUAAUCAGAAAGCCACGGCUAACUACGUG
RNAcentral lists this ribosomal RNA (497 nucleotides) under uncultured bacterium. RNAcentral's name for it is "partial 16S ribosomal RNA". It matches the Rfam family "Bacterial small subunit ribosomal RNA", at positions 28 to 507 of the family's 1533-position model. The record is from RNAcentral.